RNAcentral lists this unclassified non-coding RNA (358 nucleotides) under soil metagenome. RNAcentral describes it as "partial contains 5.8S ribosomal RNA, internal transcribed spacer 2, and large subunit ribosomal RNA". The stretch from base 1 to 120 matches the Rfam family "5.8S ribosomal RNA", at positions 35 to 154 of the family's 154-position model. The record is from RNAcentral.
GAUGAAGAACGUAGCGAAAUGCGAUAAGUAAUGUGAAUUGCAGAAUUCAGUGAAUCAUCGAAUCUUUGAACGCACAUUGCGCCCGUCAGUAUUCUGGCGGGCAUGCCUGUUCGAGCGUCAUUACGCCCCUCAAGUCCCCUGUGGACUUGGUGUUGGGGAUCGGCGAGGCUGGUUUUCCAGCACAGCCGUCCCUUAAAUUAAUUGGCGGUCUCGCCGUGGCCCUCCUCUGCGCAGUAGUAAAACACUCGCAACAGGAGCCCGGCGCGGUCCACUGCCGUAAAACCCCCCAACUUUUUAUAGUUGACCUCGAAUCAGGUAGGACUACCCGCUUAACUUAAGCAUAUCAAUAAGCGGAGGA